This 1669-nucleotide long non-coding RNA is filed under the name Equus caballus (horse). RNAcentral describes it as "lncRNA (ENSECAG00000033750.3)". Lineage: Eukaryota; Metazoa; Chordata; Mammalia; Perissodactyla; Equidae. The record is from RNAcentral.
ACAGAUUAUCGACAGCGAAUUUAUCCAAACACUUUAGGAAAGAGAAGAUCCUAAAAUCUAAAAUACAAGCGCAAGGGGGGCGAGGAGAGCAGGGUGGGCUGGGUGCUGGAGCGAGUAGGACGUUAACAGCCAAUAGUUUGCACCUGUCCGUCAACUCGCACCACCCACUCAGCGCCGCUCGGGCCAGCGCGGGCGGCCGCUUCGCUGGUACCGCGUUCCUCCGAGGGUCGGGCACCAUGUGGGGGGCGGGCAGCGGAGUGGGGAAGGGGGAAUAAAACCAACCCGAGAGGCCCCGGCCCCGGAGGGGAAUGCAGGAGGGGCGCCUGCACCCUGACCGCGCGCGGCCAGUAGGGGAGGAACCCUGAUCCCAGACCAAAAGCCCGACCUGCCAGGGAGGGGCCGCCAGGGUGUUAGAGAGAGUUCCGGGGUCCGAGACGGCCGGGUUGGGGGAGAGGUUCUGCCCCGGGCCGCUGGGUACCCUUCGGGCCAGCGCCCGUGUCCCGCGUCAUAGUUCGGGGCUGCUCCCUCUCCCGGGAGCGCCGCCCUUGCAGGCUGUGCAGCCUGUUCUAGGCCGUGGGAGAGCACUAAAGAAGACUUUCAAGCCACUCCUCGAAGAGCUUCUGAUCCGUGGGGGAGGAACUUGUCAAGAAAUUUUGUUUCAGAUGAAAUCUGCCUUCCUUAUUUACAUGACCCUGGAUGUCUGCCAUUUUGAAGAAUUCCAGUCCCAGAGGAGCCUAUUAAAAGAUGACAGCACACAUGGAGGAGAGUCCAGGUGUCCCAGCUGAGGCCAUUCAGACCAGCGUAGGAGUCAACUCCUAGACAUGUGAGAGAGCUCAGCCAAAAUCAGGAGAGCUGCCUACAACACCCACAGCUGAUGCACGAGUAAGGCCAGCCAAGAGUAGAAAAACUACCCAGCUGACCCAUAUACCUACGAGCAAUAAUAAAUGCUUACUGUUUUAAGCCACUGAGUUUUGGGUGGUUUGUAACGCAGCAGUGUGGGAAUUGAUACACCCUACCCAAUGUGUAGAACAUGCACUAUUCUACUCCCUACUUAAAGAACCUUUACAAUGAUGACACUUUAAUGAGGUUAAGACAUCAUGAUAUCUGUGAGGUGAUAACAUUUGCUUAAUAAAGAUCAUUUUAAAGAUUGCCAAGCAAUUUAUAUACACCAUUGCUAAUUCUUACAACAACCCAGAAAAUGUGGAUAUAAUUAUCAAUUCCACUUUACAGAUGAAGAAAUUGAGAGUAAUAUAGGUUGAAUAAUUCACUCAAUGUCACACACUAGGUGGUGGAGUUGACAUUGGAACCCAUGUCCUUUCAGUGCCGAAGACUUUAUCUUUCCUUUCUGCCAUACUGUGGGAACUGGAAGGACUAUACAUACUUUCCAGCCCAAAACUCUUAUUUUUGAGGUAAAGAAACCAAAGAAGUGCAAUAACUUGGCUAAAGUGAUUCACAAUAUAAAGUUUUCAAUCUCUAUAAUUCCAAAUACUCACCUCUGAUUGCAAAAAUGGAGACCCUGAGCAACAAGCCCAGAGUCGUUUUGACCUGGGUAGAGGAAUUUUCACUUUUAAAUAAGCAUAACAGGUGAUUCUGCUGCAAGUGGGCCAUGAAUUAUCUGAGAAAGGCUGAGUCAAGUGAGUCCUGGGGCCAGGACUCAGAUCCUGGUCUU